This 69-nucleotide transfer RNA is filed under the name Platalea leucorodia (Eurasian spoonbill). RNAcentral describes it as "tRNA-Cys". Lineage: Eukaryota; Metazoa; Chordata; Aves; Pelecaniformes; Threskiornithidae. The record is from RNAcentral.
GACUCUGUAGUGAAAUUCAUGUUGAGUUGCAAGCUCAUUGAUGUAUGCUAAUCGUGUACCGGAGUCUGG